UCAAUGUUGUCUGUAGGUGUUUUGUAUCUAUGGUGUCCAGUAGUAAAUUAUAUAGCUAUCAUAGUAGAACAAAAAAAUGAAAUGUAUAUUAUGAAAAUACUAGCAUAUUGAUAAUGUGAUGUUCUUUUGCUGAUCGCCUAUUGAUGAGUAGUUACUGCAUAAUCAGGAGUAUAUACAUGGUAUGUAGCACAACAUUCUAUUUUUUGAAAAGCAAUUAAAUGAUAGGUAUAAUCAAACAGAAUAAACAAGACUAAACAUAAAGUCACUAUUUGGACAUCGGUUAACUUCUGUCUCCCUAAUACAAACAUAAGGACAUACCUAGAUUUGACACUAGGACAAAUUUGGAUUUUUUUACGUAAUUAGCAUAUCCAGUGGCUGCAUAAAUAGUCACAUGAUUCAAGCUUUAUAAACUAUUAAUCGCCUGUCAUAAUCAAGUCAUAUUAUUUCAUAAUGUAUUCUUAUAUUUCAAUACUUGACAACAAUAAUUUAAAAAUACAAUUUCUUAUAAUCUUUCCAAAAGGGUUGUUUUAAAGAAAAGCAGAUAAUAGUGUAUUACCAACCCAUUUUUAAAUACUUUUUUUGACUAUUUCUCUCUUUAAUGGUAUGUGUAUUGUUUUACUUUACUACACUACGUUCACCAUUAUAUAAAUAUUGUUAUAUUAUAAAUUGCAUAUAUAAUUGUACGCUAUACUUAUCUGUUUGCUACUUGACACUUACCCGCUGAAAAAAUCAAAUACAUAUUCUUAGAAUACAGCAUACCAUUUCGCAAUGAAUUAUUACAACGAACAUGGAAUUAAUUAAAUUUGUAGUAACAUGAUAGUAGAACAUUUCGAGAUGAUUGCGUGGUCUGUCAGAUUAUUCAAUAGUAAAGUCAUUAGUCAUGCCAAAUAUUGAAAUGUGAUAUUUGUAUGAUUUCAAAGUGUCGCUUUAUAAAUUCAGAAAUUAUAAAGAAACUUAGGUUUUAAUACCCUCAAGUAAUGUUGACGUUAAGUUGAUAUAAUUAUGUUCGUGUAUGUUCUCUAUGGUCAUAUAUUUGAACUAUGUUGAUUAUUAUACGUUCCUUGAUUUAAACAUUUCUGCUUUGAGCGUUCCCCGUUAAGGUAAAUUUAGAAAACAGCACAUGAAAUCAAUCCCGUUUAUUUGUUUUUUGUAUACUGUUGUUUGUCGUUUUGUCUGUUGAGGCUUCUGCCAUGGCGUUGUCAGUUUAUGUUCGACUAAUUAGUUUGAAUGUCUGUUUGGUAUUUCCGCCUCUUUUGUAGACGGAACGCGUGUCUAUCACACAUCAUGUUCAUGGUAUGUUUAUUGUUUUACUUUACUACUCUACUAACACCAUUGUAUAAAUAUCGUUAUAUUAUGAAUUGCAUAGAUAAUUGUACGCUAUACUUAUCUGUUUGCUACUUGACACUUACCGGCUGAAAAAUUCAAAUAAAUAUUCAUUAAAAACA
This is a long non-coding RNA of Mytilus californianus (California mussel), 1445 nucleotides long. RefSeq lists it as uncharacterized. The transcript is spliced from 2 exons. NCBI's taxonomy places the organism in Eukaryota, Metazoa, Mollusca, Bivalvia, Mytilida, Mytilidae. The record is from RefSeq and is a predicted model, not a curated record.